AACCAGUGGAGCAUGUGGUUCAAUUCGAUACAAAGCGAUGAACCUUACCUGGGUUUGAAAUGUACCUGCAAAUCCCGAGAAAUCGGGACAUCCUUCGAGGGUGGUACACAGCUGUUGCAUGGCUGUCGUCAGCUCGUGACGUGAGUUGUUCUCUUAAGUGAGGUAACGAGCGCAACCCCCGUUCUGUGUUAUUGUGUCACAGAAGACUGCCUAGCAUUAUUUUGUUAGGAGGAAGGAGGGGACGACGUCAAGUCAUCAUGAUGCUUAUAUCCAGGGCUACACACAUCCUACAAUGGGCUAUAACAGAGGGUUGCAAGACCGCAAGGUGGAGCUAAUCCCUAAACUAGCCCUCAGUUGGGAUUGCAGGCUGAAACUCGCCUGCAUGAACCCGGAAUUGGUAGUAAUCGCACAUCAGCAGCGUGCGGUGAAUACGUUCUCGCCUCUU
RNAcentral lists this ribosomal RNA (445 nucleotides) under uncultured Microgenomates group bacterium. Its description in RNAcentral is "bacterial SSU rRNA". It matches the Rfam family "Bacterial small subunit ribosomal RNA", at positions 927 to 1382 of the family's 1533-position model. The record is from RNAcentral.